Molecule: long non-coding RNA, 389 nt
Filed under: Ananas comosus (pineapple)
Lineage: Eukaryota; Viridiplantae; Streptophyta; Magnoliopsida; Poales; Bromeliaceae
Description: long non-coding RNA (ACOM_LNC040713)
Source: RNAcentral
UUUUUAAAUUUUUGUUAAAUUCGCCAAAAAUUUUAUCAAAUUUAAAAACUUAACUACACCUUUGGAUAACUUUAAAAAUUUAAAUAAUAUAAAUAAAACAUAAAAUUUAAGUAAAUAUUAGUAUAAAAAAUGGGUAAUAGUAUAAAAAUUGGGUAAAAGUAUACAAAAUGUAUCUGAACUAUGAAAUCAUUUUAAGUCAGCUAUCCGAGCUUUUAGAUUUUUUUUUGAAUCGGUCAAUAAUAUUAUAACUUAAAUUUUAAUCUAAUUAUUUAUUUUAAUACAUUUAUAAUUAUGAGAAUUAUAUAAAGUAUACUAAGUAAAUUUAUAAAAAUAAACGACGGAUUGAAAUUUUAAAAUUAAAGUGUCGUUCACCGACUCGAAUCCGAGUU